AAAUGAACAACGCAAAUUAUUCACGUUCUCAAUAAAAGCAUUUAGGGUGAGAAACCCGUUGCCCUCGUGGCGAUGUGAGGUUUCCAUGACCUUUCCGAAUCGUCAAGAGAAUGGAGAGGGAGUUUACAUGGCCAAUCUUGGGUGCAGCGCUCUUCCUCUCUUCCAUGAAGAGGGCUGCAAUGAUUGGCUAUACAU
This 195-nucleotide small RNA is filed under the name Oidiodendron maius Zn. Its description in RNAcentral is "A. fumigatus sRNA Afu_182". It matches the Rfam family "A. fumigatus sRNA Afu_182". Lineage: Eukaryota; Fungi; Ascomycota; Leotiomycetes; Myxotrichaceae. The record is from Rfam by way of RNAcentral.